Molecule: ribosomal RNA, 253 nt
Filed under: uncultured bacterium
Lineage: Bacteria
Description: partial 16S ribosomal RNA
Rfam family: Bacterial small subunit ribosomal RNA
Source: RNAcentral
UACGUAGGGGGCAAGCGUUAUCCGGAAUUACUGGGUGUAAAGGGAGCGUAGACGGUAAUGUAAGUCUGGAGUGAAAGGCGGGGGCCCAACCCCCGGACUGCUCUGGAAACUAUGUCACUAGAGUGCAGGAGAGGUAAGCGGAAUUCCUAGUGUAGCGGUGAAAUGCGUAGAUAUUAGGAGGAACACCAGUGGCGAAGGCGGCUUACUGGACUGUAACUGACGUUGAGGCUCGAAAGCGUGGGGAGCAAACAGG